CCGGAGAUGCCUCCCAGGAAGAAGCAAGAACCAGACAGUGACGAGGACGAGCCUGCGCCAGUGGCUGAGGACUUGCUUCGACAGAUGGCAUCCCUCUGUACGUUACUGACGCAGCAGCUUGGUAGCAGCACGCCCGCCGCCCAGCCGUCCCCGGACACGCAGCUGCGCCUGAACUUGCCGGUACCGACAUUUUCGGGCUACAACGACUCCAAGUCGGCUGAAGAUUUCCUCGCCGACUUGAGUGCUUACCAAACUGCCGUUGGAGCCACCGACGACGUCAUUCUGCGUCGAGUACUUCCCGCAGCGCUGUGGCCUUGGUCCCGCUUGCGUGCCGAUUGCAAGAUGACAUCUGCAACAUCGGACCUUUCAUCGUGGUGCGCGUUCUGGGCAAAGACGUUGCAGGUUUGGUGGACACCGGAGCAGCUGUUUCCCUGAUCGGCGACACCAUCCACGACUGGUGCCGGGAGCGGAACAUCUCGGUACGGACGACCAGGACUCUCCUAAGGCUCGCCUCUGAUGCGGUUGUACCUGCCGGUGGCGCGGUGCGCCUUACCUUGACUGUCGAUGGACAUCGGGUCAGACAACGCUUUGUUUACCUUCCUGGACUGGCAGGAGCAAUGAUCCUGGGACGCGACUUCAUUAUCCGGAUGGGACUUGUCCUGGACUUGCGUCGCGGAGGCUACCAGCAUGCAUGCAGCAGUACCUUCUUCCCAUUCCUGGAGUGGACAACCCCUGGAGCGGACCAACGCCGGACUGGUGAGGGAACCCAGGACGACUGCUCAAAGCGAAACCGGUAACCGACUGGCAACAGCGAUGAAACUAAGCAGCAAGCCGCUCGAGUACUUCGCGGCGCUGGACAAUCACUGCCCGUUGAAGAGCAUCACGGAGCGGGAUACCAAACGCCUGUAGUUGCAACUGCUGCCUUGCAUGAGGGUCUGCAAGGGAUUUCUGGAACCUCAGAGCAACGAGAAAUGCUGGAGCAAGCAUUGCUACCCUUUUCCCGGAUGUUUACGGAAAAACCAGGUUUGACCGAAGUCUUGGAACACGGCAUAGACACCGGCGACGCAAGGCCUUGGAGAUGCAACCCGCGGCCGCUUAGCGUCCACAAGCGCAAGUUGCUCGAUGCUGCGCUGAACGAAAUGAUCGAGACGGGUGCUGUGAGACCCUCGCGCAGCCCGUGGGCCUUUCCGGUGGUACUCGCUCCGAAGAAAGAUGGAACCGCAAGGUUGUGCGUGGACUACCGCCGGUUGAACGAGGUGACGGAACACCUUUCACACCUGAAAGUCGUGUUGGGACGUAUGCAAGCUGCUG
This is an RNA transcript of Ornithodoros turicata, 1311 nucleotides long. RefSeq lists it as uncharacterized. The record is from RefSeq and is a predicted model, not a curated record. The transcript has 3 exons. NCBI's taxonomy places the organism in Eukaryota, Metazoa, Arthropoda, Arachnida, Ixodida, Argasidae.